Molecule: ribosomal RNA, 253 nt
Filed under: uncultured bacterium
Lineage: Bacteria
Description: partial 16S ribosomal RNA
Rfam family: Bacterial small subunit ribosomal RNA
Source: RNAcentral
UACAGAGGUCCCAAGCGUUGUUCGGAUUCACUGGGCGUAAAGGGUGCGUAGGUGGCGGUGUAAGUUUGAUGUGAAAUCUCCGGGCUCAACCCGGAAAAUGCAUUGAAUACUACAUUGCUGGAGGUUUGGAGGGGGGACUGGAAUUCCCAGUGUAGAGGUGAAAUUCGUAGAUAUUGGGAAGAACACCGAUGGCGAAGGCAGCCAUCUGGACCGACACUGACGCUGAGGCGCGAAAGCGUGGGGAGCAAACAGG